Myxocyprinus asiaticus (Chinese sucker) is the source of this 705-nucleotide long non-coding RNA. RefSeq lists it as uncharacterized. The record is from RefSeq and is a predicted model, not a curated record. Lineage: Eukaryota; Metazoa; Chordata; Actinopteri; Cypriniformes; Catostomidae. The transcript is spliced from 3 exons.
CUGUCCAGCAUUCAUUUGUGGAUCGCUGGCUGUGCAUUUGUGACUUCUGAAACAUUUCUUGUGCAAAAGCUGCAGGCAAUCCACAAAUAGGUGGACUCCACCCAUCAUCUACUCAAGCCAAUCAGAUAAUGGCCACAUUACUCAGACCAAUCGCUGCAUAUUCUAUCUUCAACCAGCCACGCUUCAUUUUACUAUCUGAUCCAGAGUCACAGGAGCGUGGAAUAAAGCACAUACAGAUAAGCUCCAAGGCCACAAACUCUAAGAAACGGAUGCCAUCAGAGGAAUACUGUGACUUAAGGUUCGCGGUUAGAGCGGUGAUGAGAGGAGAGUCUGCAUGGCAGGGAUAAACACAGGGAUUAUUGGAGCAACAAGAGAAUGCUUUUACCCUGACUAGGAGUAUCUGUCCCAGACAACUGAUACAACACCAUGACGUGGCAAUAACGAUUUUCAUGUACAAGCAAAAAAUCUAGCAAAAUGCCACCACUCCAGUUGUAAUAUUCAAUUCCAGUGUUUGUGUGUGUAAAAUAUACUCACAUUUAAUGUGUUUUGUAGUUACAUGCAUGACAACCUGUAAUUUGUAACCAAAAAAGCAUGCCUUUUCACCAACAAACUUGCUUUAAAGUGUAAAAAAAAAAAAGAAAAAAAAAAACUCUACCUACUAACCUCAAAAUACCUUGAUAGACAUUUGAGAACUCAAUAAAAGAU